CAGAGAGAGAGGCAGAGACACAGACACAGGCAGAGGGAGAAGCAGGCUCCAUGCACCGGGAGCCUGACGUGGGAUUCGAUCCUGGGUCUCCAGGAUCGCGCCCCAGGCCAAAGGCAGGCGCCAAACCGCUGCGCCACCCAGGGGUCCCUAAAAUAAAAAUCUUAAAAAAAAAAAGUUCAGCUUUAAUCUUUAGGGGCUCCUGGCUGGCUCAGUUGGUAGGAUAUGCAGCUCUUGAUCACAGGGUCCUGAGUUCAGCCCCAUGUUUGGUAUAGAGCCUACUUAAAAUCGAGAAGAAAAAAAAGAUUCAGCUUUAAUCCAGCCUCACAUCAGUUCACAUGAUUCUUUGCUCUGAACUCCCAUAGUAUCUGCUACCUGUAACACCCACAUUUAUUUCUUGGUUACUUAUUAUCUUGCAACAUCUUUGCUCUACCAUGAUGAUUUAGAAUGUGAGCUCCAGAGGGGUGCCUGGCUGGCUCACUUGGUGGCGUAUGCAAUUAUUGAUCUUGGAGUGCUUAACAGAGGUCGAAGGCGGAAGGUGGCAGUCACUUGGGGAUCACUGUGGCCAACACAGAUCUGGAAGCAUGAUUCGUCACUGCAUCUGGGGUUCACCAGGCUCAAGAGAAUCCACUUGUAUCAACUGGUGUGAGGUAAAUUCCCUGGAAUUUGAUCAACCAGAUGUCCAAACGCCCAUUCUCAGAAAGCCUCCUGGAAAACAGACUGUUGUCAAAAGAUCCUUUACAGUGUGGAAUCAGAGGCCAGGGAGCAGGCGAUUUUAACCACUGGUGGCAUUGAGGCCUGGCCACUCCGGCCUGGCCAGUCCCUUGACUCUGCAGGGAUGGCUUUUGCUGCCUGGCGUACUGCUCAAAGCACCCUCUCCGUGGGCUCUGUCACCGGAGGUAACACCAACCAGAGUCUGCUCUUCAACGUGCUAGUUUCCAAAUUGCAGGUGGAUCCCCCCCGCCAUGCCUGCACUCGAAUAGGACAUCCUGUCCUUAGCCAAGUGACAAAACCAUUAGUUCUCUGACAUGCCCUUUUAGUUCUAGAUCUGACUGUGCACUGUAAAUGGUUUUGAGGGUUGCCCCAGUCUUCAAUGGCAGCGUAUCCACAAACCUACUUCAAAGGGGAAUAAUUUUACCUCUGGUAUGAUUGAUUUUCAUUCUCCUGGGAAGGUAACCAUCUCUUAAGUUCUGAGGAUACACCACGGGCAUAGGCUGCCUACUGUCUUCCUUUAAUGGUCAUAGCACCUAUUAUUACUUGGUGUAUCAUUUCAUUCAUUCAACAAGCUUUUUAAAGAUUUUAUUUAUUUAUUCAUGAGAGACACACAGAGAGAGACAGAGACAUAGGCAGAGGGAGAAGCAGGCUCCCUGUGAAGAGCCUGAUGUGGGACCCAAUCCCAGGACCCUGGGAUCACGACCUGAGCCAAAGGCAAAAUCUCAACCGCUGAGCCACCCAGGCGUCCCUCAUUCAACAAGCUUUAUUGAGCACCUGCUGUGGGUCAGGCAUUAUGCUAGGUGCUGGGGAUACAAAGGUGGGCAAAAUGAACAUCUGCCCCCAGAGUGUGUAGCCUAGUGGACAGAAAAUGGUCAUAAGGCAGUGAGAUUGUUUUUGGUUUUGUUUUGAGAUUGGUAUUUCUAACAAACAUACAGAAUGGAGAUUUCUAAAUGAGUCCUCUCCUUUAAAAGUCACCACAGGAGAUGAUCCCCGCCCCCCUGCCCUUCUAACAAGGCUGCCACUGAUCAGGAAGUUUUGUUUGGGGGCACCUGGGUGGCUCAGCUG
Vulpes vulpes (red fox) is the source of this 1776-nucleotide long non-coding RNA. The record is from Ensembl. Lineage: Eukaryota; Metazoa; Chordata; Mammalia; Carnivora; Canidae.